This 77-nucleotide transfer RNA is filed under the name Sulfurovum sp. AR. RNAcentral describes it as "tRNA-Met". It matches the Rfam family "tRNA". From Rfam's summary of the family: Transfer RNA (tRNA) molecules are approximately 80 nucleotides in length. Their secondary structure includes four short double-helical elements and three loops (D, anti-codon, and T loops). RNAcentral also lists the same sequence under 3 other names. The record is from RNAcentral. Lineage: Bacteria; Pseudomonadati; Campylobacterota; Epsilonproteobacteria; Campylobacterales; Sulfurovaceae.
CGCGGGAUAGAGCAGUCUGGUAGCUCGUUGGGCUCAUAACCCAAAGGUCGGUGGUUCAAAUCCAUCUUCCGCAACCA